GAUGAACGCUGGCGGCGUGCCUAAUACAUGCAAGUCGAGCGAACAGACGAGGAGCUUGCUCCUCUGACGUUAGCGGCGGACGGGUGAGUAACACGUGGAUAACCUACCUAUAAGACUGGGAUAACUUCGGGAAACCGGAGCUAAUACCGGAUAAUAUAUUGAACCGCAUGGUUCAAUAGUGAAAGACGGUUUUGCUGUCACUUAUAGAUGGAUCCGCGCCGCAUUAGCUAGUUGGUAAGGUAACGGCUUACCAAGGCAACGAUGCGUAGCCGACCUGAGAGGGUGAUCGGCCACACUGGAACUGAGACACGGUCCAGACUCCUACGGGAGGCAGCAGUAGGGAAUCUUCCGCAAUGGGCGAAAGCCUGACGCAGCCACGCCGCGUGAGUGAUGAAGGUCUUCGGAUCGUAAAACGCUGUUAUUAGGGAAGAACAACUGUGUAAGUAUCUAUCGACGGCUUGACGGUACCGGAUCAGAAAGCACCGGCUAACUACGUG
RNAcentral lists this ribosomal RNA (497 nucleotides) under uncultured bacterium. Its description in RNAcentral is "partial 16S ribosomal RNA". It matches the Rfam family "Bacterial small subunit ribosomal RNA", at positions 28 to 507 of the family's 1533-position model. The record is from RNAcentral.